AGCAGCUGACAAGGACAAAAUCAAGUUAUAUGGACCCGAAGAAGGCCUUUCCUGGGUUGCCAGACCUGUAACUGGGCAGGGUUCUAUUGUCAGUCUUGUGUCUCGCCAAGGAAGCAUGGCAACACAGAAUGUGCCUCUAAUGGAUCCUCUUGUCACUCUCUUCGGUAGUGUCCAUGAAAAUUUCCCCGAGGCAGGGAGUACGCGGGGAAGCAUGCUCUUUUCUAACUUUGGCAGCAUGUUCAGCACAGCAGAUCAUCCACGGGGUAAAACCGAACAAUGGGAUGAAGAGAGCUUGCAUAGGGAAGGUGAGGACUAUGCAUCUGGGGGAGACUCGGAUGACAAUCUGCACAGUCCUUUGAUUUCACGCCAGACAACAAGUAUGGAAAAGGAUAUGGUGCCACCUCCUCCUUCUCAUGGUAGUGUUCUAGGCAUGAGGCGCAACAGCAGUCUCAUGCAAGGAACUGGGGAGACAGUUGGUAGCACAGGCAUUGGUGGUGGAUGGCAGUUGGCAUGGAAAUGGUCUGAGAGACAGGGCGAAGAUGGAAAGAAGGAAGGAGGAUUCCAGAGGGUAUAUUUGCACCAGGAGGGAGUCCCCGGCUCACGUCGUGGGUCUCUUGUGUCACUUCCUGGUAGUGAUGUUCCUGCAGAAGGUGAAUUCAUCCAGGCAGCUGCUCUGGUUAGUCAGCCUGCUCUGUACUCAAAAUCACUUAUAGAUCAGCAUCCUAUUGGACCUGCAAUGGUUCAUCCAUCAGAAACAGCUUCGAAAGGACCAAUGUGGUCUG
Molecule: long non-coding RNA, 782 nt
Filed under: Fragaria vesca (wild strawberry)
Lineage: Eukaryota; Viridiplantae; Streptophyta; Magnoliopsida; Rosales; Rosaceae
Description: long non-coding RNA (FVES_LNC002486)
Source: RNAcentral